CUGAGGUUGGGGCUGAUACCUGGGUGCUGGAAGGUGUGCUCAAGAAAAGCCAGCGAGAACACCUGGGGAGGAGCCAAGAUUUAUACUACAACCUGACAUCACAGCUGAGAGCAUCUCCAGGGACAAGGAAAGC
This is a long non-coding RNA of Sarcophilus harrisii (Tasmanian devil), 133 nucleotides long. RefSeq lists it as uncharacterized. Lineage: Eukaryota; Metazoa; Chordata; Mammalia; Dasyuromorphia; Dasyuridae. The transcript is spliced from 2 exons. The record is from RefSeq and is a predicted model, not a curated record.